RNAcentral lists this ribosomal RNA (407 nucleotides) under Aplexa elongata. Its description in RNAcentral is "partial 16S ribosomal RNA". The stretch from base 1 to 134 matches the Rfam family "Archaeal large subunit ribosomal RNA", at positions 1898 to 2079 of the family's 2987-position model. The record is from RNAcentral. Lineage: Eukaryota; Metazoa; Mollusca; Gastropoda; Physidae.
AACAAAAACAUAGCUUAAUGUAUAUAUAUUAAGUUAAUUCUGCCCAGUGUAUUUUAUUAACGGCCGCAGUACCUUGACUGUGCUAAGGUAGCAUAAUAAAUUGGCUAUUAAUUGUAGUCUGGAAUGAAUGGGAUUUUGGGUGUAAGCUUUAUUAAUAAAAUUAAUUUUAAUUUAUUUAUUAGGUGAAAAUACCUGUAUGUAUAAAAAAGACGAGAAGACCCUUAGAAUUUUUAAAAAUAUAAUUAAAAAUUAUUAAUUUUUUGUUGGGGCGACAAAAAAACAAUUAAACUUUUCUUAUGUUUAAACACUAUUUUGACGAAAUUUUUAUGUAUAAAUAAAUUACCUUAGGGAUAACAGCAUAAUGAUUAAAUUACGUUUGUGACCUCGAUGUUGGACUAGGAAGUCUA